RNAcentral lists this ribosomal RNA (250 nucleotides) under uncultured bacterium. RNAcentral describes it as "partial 16S ribosomal RNA". It matches the Rfam family "Bacterial small subunit ribosomal RNA", at positions 805 to 1058 of the family's 1533-position model. The record is from RNAcentral.
AACGAUGAUAACUGGGCGUAUGCGAUAUACAGUAUGCUCCUAAGCGAAAGCGUUAAGUUCAUCCAGCUGGGAGUACGCCGGCAACGGUGAAACUCAAAGGAAUUGACGGGGGCCCGCACAAGCGGAGGAACAUGUGGUUUAAUUCGAUGAUACGCGAGGAACCUUACCCGGGAUUGAAAUGUAGAUGACCGCUCCUGAAAGGGAGUUUUCCUUCGGGACAUCUAUGUAGGUGCUGCAUGGCUGUCGUCAG